GAUGGUUUAACUCAGUGGUAGAGUGCCUGCUUAGCAUGCACGAGGCCCUGGGUUCAAUCCCCAGUACUGCCA
Molecule: transfer RNA, 72 nt
Filed under: Camelus bactrianus (Bactrian camel)
Lineage: Eukaryota; Metazoa; Chordata; Mammalia; Artiodactyla; Camelidae
Also listed under: 2 other names
Rfam family: tRNA
About the family: Transfer RNA (tRNA) molecules are approximately 80 nucleotides in length. Their secondary structure includes four short double-helical elements and three loops (D, anti-codon, and T loops). Further hydrogen bonds mediate the characteristic L-shaped molecular structure. tRNAs have two regions of fundamental functional importance: the anti-codon, which is responsible for specific mRNA codon recognition, and the 3' end, to which the tRNAs corresponding amino acid is attached (by aminoacyl-tRNA synthetases). tRNAs cope with the degeneracy of the genetic code in two manners: having more than one tRNA (with a specific anti-codon) for a particular amino acid; and 'wobble' base-pairing, i.e. permitting non-standard base-pairing at the 3rd anti-codon position.
Source: Rfam by way of RNAcentral